Molecule: long non-coding RNA, 2139 nt
Filed under: Lupinus angustifolius (narrow-leaved blue lupine)
Lineage: Eukaryota; Viridiplantae; Streptophyta; Magnoliopsida; Fabales; Fabaceae
Description: long non-coding RNA (LANG_LNC000423)
Source: RNAcentral
UUUGUGCAUAUCUUUCUUUCUUCAACCUUUUCUUUUCCUUUUUUGCUCUAUUCUUGCUUAUUUUCUUGUCUUUUUUAUCUUCCUCCACCACAUUCUUCUUCUCAUUGUCACUAUCAUCAUUUUCCUCUUCCUUAUCAUCAUCAUCUUCACCAUCACUACCACUGUUGUCACUCUCACCAUCAUUAUCCUCACUACUAUCAUCAUCCUCACCAUCUUCCUCCCCUCCACUCUCUUCCACAUCACUUCCUUCUUCUUCCAUCACUUCUUCCUCAACAUCACUUUCAGUGUCACUCAUAUUCAAAGCAAAUUGAAAGGUAAUUAUAAAAGUUUGUCUUUAUUGUUAACAGACUACAAUAUGUAGUUCAAGAUUGUCAUCUUUACUUUAUAUUUGAAGAUCAUGGGGAAUAACGAUAUAUGAUUCCAUUUGCAUGAGCAUCGGCAUUCUAAUAUUGUCAAUAAUUAAAGUGGGAAAAUUACCAAUACAAGCUAGUCAUACUCAUAAUUAAUGGGCGUCAAAACAAAAUUCCGAUGAGAUUAUCAUGUAUGUGCUGCAUACUUUUUUAUUCACAAUAAUUGCAUGAUAUAAGUAAUUGUACUUUCUAAACAAUAAUAAAGAAAGAUGAUAAAAAAUGCUUGAAACCCACACACAUAAUAGUAAACAUGAGAAUGAUUUAAUAAAAAAGAGAUUGUUAAAAUUUAGUAGCGGUAAUAAAUUAUAGUUUGAUAUACAUUAUUUAUUUUAUAAACAAGGAAAAUAUUACACUAUAUAAUAUAUUUUUUACUCAAACUUAAGCAAACUUGUAUAAUCAAUUUUUACCACCCCCAAGUGUUAUUACACUAGUAGGACCCCUUUGUUAUGGAAUAAUUAAUAUUGCAUAACUUCUUCUAGAGAUAAUUACUUUGGAGGUGUAAUGUCCCAUUUUUACAACUUAGAAAUUAGGACUUCAUUAUAAAAAUAUGAUAAAAAUUUAAAUAAAAUUAAAGGCAUUCUGUGAGAAAAUCGGAGUGAAUUUAAAACUUCUUUUCAUUAAUAUGUUUAAGAUGUGGAAAUAUUCAAUAUUAUCAUUACCCAAAAACGAGUUAUCACAUUGAACCUCAAAACCAUGAUUUAUAUAAUUAUCUAUUUGUUUAAGUAUGUAGCUUUACAAUGUCAUUAAAUUAAUCUUAACAUAAUGAUUAUAAAAGACAUCCUGUAUGCCAAAAGAAUCACUCUUAAAAGUAUUUUUCAUAAAAUAUAACUUAUAUAAAAAUUAGUUCAAAAGACCAAUAGUAUUCCUAAAUCAGAGCCAAUAAUCUCAAUAUAAACAACAUACUUAACUAUUUGUACUGAAUAUCUUUUCCUGUAAACAAACCAUUUAAAUAAAAAUGACAUUGCACAAUGCACAUUGUGAGCAUUGUUUGAACUUAAACAAUGAGACUGUAUCCUUAUUAUCCAUUUGUGUCCAAGCUGUUUUUAUUCACUCGCUGAUCUUCAACCUUUUCAUUCUUAUCAAUACUGAACUUGCAACCAUGAGUCCAUGACCUCGACGUUUGUCAGGGUUAUCUUGAUCUUCAAGCCUUGGGCUGGUAGUUCGAAUUCUCAGCACGGCUUGUCACCAGACUUGAUAGGCUUUGCUGGAUUCUGUGGAAGAGUCACUUGAACGCUAGCGGUCUCUUCUAGUGACUGAACCAUAAAACAUCAGUGAUUUAUUGAUAUACGUUACAUGGUUCCUUUGUUUAGCCUAAUAUCAUGCGUGCCAUGUAUAGGUUCCUUGUAAAGAAAGUAUUGUAAUAGUAAUAUAAAAAUUGACGAAUCACAUAGAAUCGGGUACCACAUAUGUAACUAUGCUUUGUAUCUUGCUGUUAACAUCAUACUUCAUCGAACUAUGAAAGUAUAUGAAUCGGCCCCUCUUUAUUCGCAGACUCGGAGCCUACAUGCAUUGUGGCUCCUCUGUUGUCACCAGCCAAGGUUAGCUGUAUUUGGUGCACAGUGGCUAGUUUAUGAGCAAACUUUGAUAUCAUCUCUGAUACUUUUUGCAGUGCAGAGUUUUCCUCGUUGUAUGAAACAGGUUUUUCAUAUCAUAUACUUGAUACAUUCCUAGUUCCUGGAUCUGCUGAACUAACAACUCUUAUGUCAUUCUCACUGGGAUGCAAAGGGGC